Molecule: ribosomal RNA, 576 nt
Filed under: uncultured bacterium
Lineage: Bacteria
Description: bacterial SSU rRNA
Rfam family: Bacterial small subunit ribosomal RNA
Source: RNAcentral
CUCCUACGGGAGGCAGCAGUGGGGAAUAUUGGACAAUGGACCGAGAGUCUGAUCCAGCAAUUCUGUGUGCACGAUGAAGUUUUUCGGAAUGUAAAGUGCUUUCAGUUGGGAAGAAAGAAAUGACGGUACCAACAGAAGAAGUGACGGCUAAAUACGUGCCAGCAGCCGCGGUAAUACGUAUGUCACGAGCGUUAUCCGGAUUUAUUGGGCGUAAAGCGCGUCUAGGUGGUUAUGUAAGUCUGAUGUGAAAAUGCAGGGCUCAACUCUGUAUUGCGUUGGAAACUGUAUAACUAGAGUACUGGAGAGGUAAGCGGAACUACAAGUGUAGAGGUGAAAUUCGUAGAUAUUUGUAGGAAUGCCGAUGGGGAAGCCAGCUUACUGGACAGAUACUGACGCUAAAGCGCGAAAGCGUGGGUAGCAAACAGGAUUAGAUACCCUGGUAGUCCACGCUGUAAACGAUGAUUACUAGGUGUUGGGGGUCGAACCUCAGCGCCCAAGCAAACGCGAUAAGUAAUCCGCCUGGGGAGUACGUACGCAAGUAUGAAACUCAAAGGAAUUGACGGGGGCCCGCACAAG